UGGGGUAUAGCUCAGUGAUAGAGCACCUGUUUAGCAUGCAUGAGGUCCUGGGUUCAAUCCCCAAUACCUCCA
RNAcentral lists this transfer RNA (72 nucleotides) under Camelus bactrianus (Bactrian camel). It matches the Rfam family "tRNA". From Rfam's summary of the family: Transfer RNA (tRNA) molecules are approximately 80 nucleotides in length. Their secondary structure includes four short double-helical elements and three loops (D, anti-codon, and T loops). Further hydrogen bonds mediate the characteristic L-shaped molecular structure. tRNAs have two regions of fundamental functional importance: the anti-codon, which is responsible for specific mRNA codon recognition, and the 3' end, to which the tRNAs corresponding amino acid is attached (by aminoacyl-tRNA synthetases). tRNAs cope with the degeneracy of the genetic code in two manners: having more than one tRNA (with a specific anti-codon) for a particular amino acid; and 'wobble' base-pairing, i.e. permitting non-standard base-pairing at the 3rd anti-codon position. Lineage: Eukaryota; Metazoa; Chordata; Mammalia; Artiodactyla; Camelidae. The record is from Rfam by way of RNAcentral. RNAcentral also lists the same sequence under 2 other names.